UGCUAGCUUGUCAUUCUCAGCUUAGGCUCAUAUUUCCAUUCUUGGAUCUUUGGAUUUUGGAUUUAUCUGACUGACUUGAUGUGUAUGGCCCCUGAACUAGUUUCUAUUAAGAAGUGACUCCCUUCCUCUUGCUGAUUUCUUUGAAACACAUGCAGUAAUUGAGACAUGCAGCUGACAGCCAGUCAGCUCUGCCAGGCCGAAGCUACGGUCUAAACCACAGGCUGUGAGGUGGAGGUGUGAGCUAACAACCGCAGAGGGGAGUUUCAGUCACCAACAUCCUCCAGAAAGUGGAAACUCAACCUGACUGGUUCACCAGAGAGGGCUCUUUAGUUAUUUAGAAGCUCUCAAACUGAGCUCCUCAAAAGCAAAUCAAAUAUUUCUAAGAGAAAUAUCUGUCAGAAAUGUUUGAAUAACUGGAGUAACAAAAGAGAGACCUUUACUCUCUGGAAAAUAUUCACAUUAAAUAACUCGGGUUCUCAAAUACUGACGCUGUUCUCUGCAGCUGUCAAUUAGUUGACUUUGGUUGGAAUCUGCAGACCAACACGAGGUCGUGAUUAAUAAACAGACAUUCUGGUGUGUGCUGAAAUCCUGUGGAUGUCCCGAAUAUGCAACAUUUUAGUCGUUUAAAUGUGUGUUUUACAGCAGACUAGGAAUUAUAUGGAGGAUAAUUAGAGA
This is a long non-coding RNA of Notolabrus celidotus (New Zealand spotty), 675 nucleotides long. RefSeq lists it as uncharacterized. Lineage: Eukaryota; Metazoa; Chordata; Actinopteri; Labriformes; Labridae. The transcript has 3 exons. The record is from RefSeq and is a predicted model, not a curated record.